GGAGGGAAAUCUUCCUUUUUUAGAACUCUUCAUCAGAAUCAUGAAGGACCAAAAUUAGAAAUGGAUUUUGUCCCUGAAAUACAAAUCGCUACAGCAAUGCCACAGAGAAUUGCAGGAGCUACAAAAGAACUGGAGUAGAAGGGGAAAAGAAGAGGAUAGAGAAAACCAAACACCCUAUACAAAAGUUCGGUGGGGAUUCCAUCUUAAAAGACCA
RNAcentral lists this long non-coding RNA (214 nucleotides) under Elaeis guineensis (African oil palm). RNAcentral describes it as "long non-coding RNA (EGUI_LNC077095)". Lineage: Eukaryota; Viridiplantae; Streptophyta; Magnoliopsida; Arecales; Arecaceae. The record is from RNAcentral.